CAACUAACUGAAAAGCGUGGAGCUGCA
Molecule: non-coding RNA, 27 nt
Filed under: Mus musculus (house mouse)
Lineage: Eukaryota; Metazoa; Chordata; Mammalia; Rodentia; Muridae
Source: RNAcentral